Molecule: ribosomal RNA, 1240 nt
Filed under: Salmonella enterica subsp. enterica serovar Mbandaka
Lineage: Bacteria; Pseudomonadati; Pseudomonadota; Gammaproteobacteria; Enterobacterales; Enterobacteriaceae
Description: partial 23S ribosomal RNA
Rfam family: Bacterial large subunit ribosomal RNA
Source: RNAcentral
UGAGGGAAAGGCGAAAAGAACCCCGGCGAGGGGAGUGAAAAAGAACCUGAAACCGUGUACGUACAAGCAGUGGGAGCCCCACCACUAAGCCAGUGGUGAACUCCACAUACGCAUCCUUUGCUGAGGAUACGGUUAACGGAGCGAAAGCGACGUUCAACCUCAAAAGAAGCAGAGGGGGCUUAGUGGUGGGGUGACUGCGUACCUUUUGUAUAAUGGGUCAGCGACUUAUAUUCUGUAGCAAGGUUAACCGCAUAGGGGAGCCGUAGGGAAACCGAGUCUUAAUUGGGCGUUAAGUUGCAGGGUAUAGACCCGAAACCCGGUGAUCUAGCCAUGGGCAGGUUGAAGGUUGGGUAACACUAACUGGAGGACCGAACCGACUAAUGUUGAAAAAUUAGCGGAUGACCUGUGGCUGGGGGUGAAAGGCCAAUCAAACCGGGAGAUAGCUGGUUCUCCCCGAAAGCUAUUUAGGUAGCGCCUCGUGAAUUCAUCUCCGGGGGUAGAGCACUGUUUCGGCUAGGGGGCCAUCCCGGCUUACCAACCCGAUGCAAACUGCGAAUACCGGAGAAUGUUAUCACGGGAGACACACGGCGGGUGCUAACGUCCGUCGUGAAGAGGGAAACAACCCAGACCGCCAGCUAAGGUCCCAAAGUCAUGGUUAAGUGGGAAACGAUGUGGGAAGGCCCAGACAGCCAGGAUGUUGGCUUAGAAGCAGCCAUCAUUUAAAGAAAGCGUAAUAGCUCACUGGUCGAGUCGGCCUGCGCGGAAGAUGUAACGGGGCUAAACCAUGCACCGAAGCUGCGGCAGCGACGCUGAUGCGUUGUUGGGUAGGGGAGCGUUCUGUAAGCCUGUGAAGGUGGCCUGUGAGGGUUGCUGGAGGUAUCAGAAGUGCGAAUGCUGACAUAAGUAACGAUAAAGCGGGUGAAAAGCCCGCUCGCCGGAAGACCAAGGGUUCCUGUCCAACGUUAAUCGGGGCAGGGUGAGUCGACCCCUAAGGCGAGGCCGAAAGGCGUAGUCGAUGGGAAACGGGUUAAUAUUCCCGUACUUGGUGUUACUGCGAAGGGGGGACGGAGAAGGCUAUGUUGGCCGGGCGACGGUUGUCCCGGUUUAAGCGUGUAGGUGUGUGUUCCAGGUAAAUCCGGUUCACUUUAACACUGAGGCGUGACGACGAGGCACUACGGUGCUGAAGCAACAAAUGCCCUGCUUCCAGGAAAAGCCUCUAAGCAUCAGGUAACAUCAAAUC